UACGAAGGGGGCUAGCGUUGUUCGGAAUCACUGGGCGUAAAGGGCGCGUAGGCGGCCGAUCAAGUCGGGGGUGAAAGCCUGUGGCUCAACCACAGAAUGGCCUUCGAUACUGUUUGGCUUGAGACCGGAAGAGGUCAGUGGAACUGCGAGUGUAGAGGUGAAAUUCGUAGAUAUUCGCAAGAACACCAGUGACGAAGGCGGCUGACUGGUCCGGUUCUGACGCUGAGGCGCGAAAGCGUGGGGAGCAAACAGG
This 253-nucleotide ribosomal RNA is filed under the name uncultured bacterium. Its description in RNAcentral is "partial 16S ribosomal RNA". It matches the Rfam family "Bacterial small subunit ribosomal RNA", at positions 524 to 776 of the family's 1533-position model. The record is from RNAcentral.